This 140-nucleotide ribosomal RNA is filed under the name uncultured eukaryote. Its description in RNAcentral is "partial 18S ribosomal RNA". It matches the Rfam family "Eukaryotic small subunit ribosomal RNA", at positions 1299 to 1458 of the family's 1831-position model. The record is from RNAcentral.
UGGUGGAGUGAUUUGUCUGGUUAAUUCCGUUAACGAACGAGACCUCAGCCUGCUAACUAGUUACACGAAGAAUCCUCUUCGUGGCCAACUUCUUAGAGGGACUAUGGCCGUCUAGGCCAUGGAAGUUUGAGGCAAUAACA